ACAAAGAGAGCAAUUCUCACCCUGUUCCACUAACCAAACAUUCACCAACUCCAAUUAAUACUCCUAAAUAGAGCACAAACAAGGAAAUUCUAAGCAACAGAAGAAGCCAAAAACUUCAUUGAAAGCACCUUAAAAUAGUCCAUUCCUUUUGCAUAGCGCAACCCCCAUUUUCAAGUCUGAGUUCCGUCGAAGUCGCUGGUGUAGUGUCGCGGUCGUGGUCGUUUGGUUGAGUUUCAGUCGAUCAAUUUGACUAUUGCGGCUGCACGAGGUUUCUGUUCUAACCCUACCUGAUCUUUGAUUUCGUUAUAUUUGAUUGAUUUCUCGUUUGGCAUUUUGCUUAAUAAAUUUUGCCAUUGUCUUAUGUAGUGGGUGCUGAUUUACCGUUUAGUCUAAGAAAGUGAGUAGUCUAUGGAAAUAAUAUCAAUACAUUCCAUAUACCAAACCUUAUAACCACUCAUGUUUAAGGUUUGGGUUUAUUACAUUUAAN
This 487-nucleotide long non-coding RNA is filed under the name Nicotiana benthamiana. Its description in RNAcentral is "long non-coding RNA (NBEN_LNC018998)". Lineage: Eukaryota; Viridiplantae; Streptophyta; Magnoliopsida; Solanales; Solanaceae. The record is from RNAcentral.